GGUAGAGCAUGAGACUCUUAAUCUCAGGGUCAUGGGUUUGAGCCCCAUGUUGGGUG
RNAcentral lists this transfer RNA (56 nucleotides) under Balearica regulorum gibbericeps (East African grey crowned-crane). RNAcentral describes it as "Balearica pavonina gibbericeps tRNA". It matches the Rfam family "tRNA", at positions 17 to 71 of the family's 71-position model. Rfam says of the family: Transfer RNA (tRNA) molecules are approximately 80 nucleotides in length. Their secondary structure includes four short double-helical elements and three loops (D, anti-codon, and T loops). Lineage: Eukaryota; Metazoa; Chordata; Aves; Gruiformes; Gruidae. The record is from Rfam by way of RNAcentral.